UGGCAUGUCAAUUAAUGGCACCAACUUUAAAGAGCUAAUACACAUGCAUUAGACAGGUUGCUAACAAAAUAAGGCUGGAGGACCCCUCAGGGGUCGUGCUAGUCUUAAAAGCUCCGGAAUUUUUGCGCAUGACAUUCACAAAAAGACCCUGAGCCAAGCUACCGAAGAUACAGGAUGAAACGUAUAACAACCCUUCAUCCAAGUCCUGAGCAGUGCAAUGAAUCUUGUACGACUGGUCAAAGUCAUCAAUACUCCCAGAGAGAAGCAGAGGGAUGACAGAAAGGCUGGCUGCAAUCAAUAUGCUUUUGGUGUUACAGCAGUAAUAUGGACUAUUGUUGCUGGGAUCAACAGACGAAACAACAGACUGAGACGAUUUGAUCUGUGGCUGCGAGCACGAGGGCUAUAAUUUCUACAUCAAGGAAGUUGUUAUGAAUGACGAGCAGGUGGAAUAGACUGCAGAGAUUUCACAACUCAACUCACCUGGCUGGUGAGUGAAUUCAGGAGCUGAUAUUGACAAAUCAUCACACACUUAACAGACUGAUAUCACACACACACUGAAAACACACACACACACACACAUACGCAGCACAAUAAGAGAACUGGAGAUAAUUAGGCUAAUUUCUGUUUGAAGUAUUAUGCAUUUGCAAUGAAAAUAGAACAGAUAAAAGAUGAGACAAUAAUAGAUCUAAAGAGGACCUUGACUGAAUGUUGUUCCAACAAAGAGCAUUUUGUUUGACACAAUUCAUAUUGUCUACUAAACUGAUAUCCUCUCCUAACUUUAUAAAGGAGGGGAAAAACAGCCUAUAAAACUAAAUAUGCUAAAUAUGCAUUAUGUUCAUCAACACUUUGCACCAUGUCACCAUGAUGUGUGUAUCAUAUCAUAUAUUUAUCUCCUGUUUCAGAUUAGACUGCUGGUCUUUAAGCAGGGAGAUAAGGGAUUGAAAUGUGCUGGUGAUAAAUUAUGCCCUGUGUAUAGAUAUAUUCCUUCCUUAUACAACAUGCAAAAUGUAAUAUCUAAAGUGAGAGACAACUGAAUUCAGGUCACAGCGCAGCAGGAAAUCUUCCUUUUCAUGUGAGAUCCAGAGGGGUCACUCUUAUGAACUCAUUAGGAGAGAAAUGCUAAUGUAGCUCUGUUUUUUUUCCUCCCCUCCUUCCUUCUCUCUCUUUCUCUCUCUCUUUUCUCUCCACACCAACUUUCCUGGUUAUUUUAACACAUGCAGAGCCUCGCCGGAGAGUAUAAUGUAUUUUGAUGUCAGGGGAAAGUGUGUAAGGUGUUUGUGACAGCAGCUUCAUUAGAAAGGCUGUCGUUUGUUGCCUUGUCAUCAAGUCACUAAACUGGAAUCAUUACACAGCAAACAAAAGCUUCGUCUUUAUCUCUGCCGGUUUAUUCUGCUGCGGGGAACAGUGCUCAUUAAAUAAAUGAAAAAGACGAUGAAAAAUAAAAAUCUGUAUCUCCUCGGUGAAAUAUGAACAUCAGGUGAACAAAUGACCUCCUCCUCCACUCAGGCCCUCUAAUCAGGAAGAUGGACUCCGCAGUGGUUCUCUCUCCUCGAAGCACAGGACAAUAAAUAAUAAAUCUCUCUCUAACCCAAGACUUCACAAACUCUGCUUCCACUUUAAAGACCAGAAUAUCAAAUUCCAGUAAACUUUUAGGUUCUUUUGGAAAAGAACACAUGAAACCAAAUUAAAUCGUAUUUAUUUCCUUGUUCCUUUAGCUUUAUUUGAAAUGUGCAACAACAGCAACAAUAUUCUACAAUAAUAUUCAUACUUUUGCUUUGCUUCUUAAUUCCUUGAUGUUUUUUCUUUUAUGAUUUUUUUCUGGGGUGCCUCCAUCUCCUUUGUCUGCUUAUUUAAAAAAAAAAUCUAUUGUCUUUUUUCUUAUUCAAUUUUCUAGUAACAUUUAAUCUCAAUAUUUCUUUGAUCAGACAUGUUUUCAGCCUGUUUUAAUCUUAAUCAACCCUUGUGUGUUUUAUUGACUUCCACUUCACUUCCUCAUUAACUGAGGUCCCACAGAACUCACUGCUGUGUGUAUAAAAGGAAUAAAAAAUAAUUCAACAUCUAAUUUUUUAAAUACUAGUUGAUUUUUCAAUUAUUAUUACUGUUUUCUGCUUCUUUUUUUUUUUACACAUUGGAUUCAAUAAAAUAACAAUUAUUAGAGUAACCCUUUACUUUGGGUUUGCACAUUUAAUAAAAAUAAGAAAAUAUGAUCAUAAAGGAUCAUUACACCAAAAAAUGAAAUGUUUCAUGUUUGAAAUAUUAUAGGGGCCAAAAUGUAUCCAUGCUGUGUGAUAAAAAAUCAUUCUCUGACAAAGAAUUGUUUUUUUCUGUUCUACAUAGAGCUGUUUAUACACCAGAGAGGUCGAACUACCUGUUCAACCUUUAAAAAUCCAAUAACAGAAAUUCAAUCAGACCUGUUUGUUUUGUCAGCAUAGAUCACAGAUGUAGAGCAAAUGAAAAUCCUUUGUAUUUAAUGAUGUUUUACAGCUAGCUUCUCUGAGACCCCAACCAGAACUGAUGUGUUAUUUAAAAAAAAAAAAACUGAAUCAGUUCAAAAUCAUGUUUAUGUUUUAACUCUCAUAAAAACAGGAAAUGUCAUGAAGGCAGUAAAACAAUGUAGUGUGUGUUCCUGAGUUGUUAAAAGAAGGCCGGGGGUUAGGAUUAGGACCAGUAUCCCUAACAAAGUC
Long non-coding RNA from Lates calcarifer (barramundi perch), 2684 nucleotides. RefSeq lists it as uncharacterized. The record is from RefSeq and is a predicted model, not a curated record. Lineage: Eukaryota; Metazoa; Chordata; Actinopteri; Centropomidae. The transcript has 5 exons.